CAUGCGUUCUCAACACGUGCAUGGUAACUUUAAGGCAGUAGUAUAUUAGGUGUAUUUGGGUGUAACGUGACUGACAGAAGCGGCCGUGACACAGGCGCUUAGUAUUGAACUGCAGUAUUUAGUAUCGCUUAUAGGCUUGAUAUUGUUCAAUUUCAGUCAGCCUGUUGACCGCUAAAUCUGUCACUGCACGAGGGAGACAUGGCAGAACGGAACGGCCUGCAAAGAUUGGAGGCUUACGAAGGUUAUCAAGAUCAACGUGGGAUCUUCGGCCACCGGCUGGUUUUGACGGGGGUUUAUCACUAUUGUUGAGAAAGAAAAUGGGAGGAGCUGUACUUGCAUGACAGGGAAUGAUGAGAAGACGGCGAGAGAAACAUGCGCAGAACAACAGAUCGUCUUUCUAAUUCAAAUGUAAAAACAAAUACAAUGUGGGGAAUAAAUCCUUUUUCUUCUGCUA
Molecule: long non-coding RNA, 454 nt
Organism: Haliotis rubra (blacklip abalone)
Lineage: Eukaryota; Metazoa; Mollusca; Gastropoda; Lepetellida; Haliotidae
Exons: 2
Source: RefSeq, a predicted model, not a curated record